UGGACUUUCUAAAGUCACUAUUAUGACUGAACUCUACUGGGACCAAAUUAACAUGGCAAGGUGCUCUGUUCUUUUCUUAGAGGAGUCCACCCAGCCGUUCAGUCUGCUGCUGACAGGAGUGCCUGGAGCAACCAGACUUGGAUGGGAGAUGCUGGUGUGCCCUAAAAGAUCAGAAUAUGAGCCAGAUGCUUGCAUGGAGAAGAUUUGAACAGAUUGGUUGAAUAAAUACUCCUGUGUCUUGUACUGCUGCAGGUGAAUAUGAUGAAACUGGAGCCUGGGAGACACUUUCUGUGACAUGCUAGUCUCUUCAGGAAUUAGUGGGAUGUCGCUUUGAAAAUGUGACAUGAUAGAAACUGAUGAUUUUCAAAUGUUCACAGCAGAGCUGGAGCUAAUUGAGGACCACUGGCCAGGGGGCAGCAGUGGCAGGACCACCCAGCCUGGCUGCGGGCAUCCUGCAGCUGAGCUGCUUCAGCGAGGCAAAAUGGAGGCAUGUCUUCCUAGCAGCGUGCAGAAACCUCAGCAAAGAAGCAGUCUGGUUCUCAUGGCAACCAGGAUUUCCAUAUACUGCAGGGGUACACACAGUCUGACAUCACUUUGCUGCAGGGAGGAUUUCUGUGCAUACUCAAGGACUAAAUUAAGCUCUCUGUAAAUGAAGAAUGUGUGUCCAUUUUCAUAUAUGUAUGUUUUUCUUUCUGUGAAAGGGAGAAUAAUAGGGAAAUAAAAGAGGAUGCAAAAUCA
This 738-nucleotide long non-coding RNA is filed under the name Cyanistes caeruleus (blue tit). Its description in RNAcentral is "lncRNA (ENSCCEG00000012355.1)". The record is from RNAcentral. Lineage: Eukaryota; Metazoa; Chordata; Aves; Passeriformes; Paridae.